AUGGAGUUUUCCUUAUCAAAUCCUAUCUAUUCCCUUUCUUUGGCACCGUUUGCCACAUUUAAAGCUGAUCCUUUUACUAACCAUUGCAUUGAUGGUAUAUUUGAUUAUUCUUGUUCAUUGUCGUUUCAGGCUUUCUGUAGUCAAGGGCUCAUUGAACAUUACAUUAACAAGAUAGCUUCGUUCUGCUUGAGUGAUGUAUUUCCAAGUGAUAUGUCGGCCGGCCAUCCCGGUUAUGCAUCUUUAUUUGCAAAUAUUUUUGACGCCGCAGUCUAUAUCUUGUCCGACCAAGCUUUAUCUCAUGAGAGAGUAGCUGAUCUACUUAACGCUUCUGUGUUAUUUCUGGAUGCUUUGCCCAAAAUUGCAUCACCGUCCAAAAGUAUUGAUGAUGUCGAUAAUAGUGGGCUUCAUGAAUAUUUGCAAAGAGAGAUAAGGCUGGUGCUUCAAGUUUUGGUGAAUGCUGCAGUUAGAUGCACAGCCAGCAUAUCCUAUAUUGAUACAGCAAGGCAACCCACUGUUGCAAUGAAAGCUGUGGGCUCUCUUUCUGCUCUUGUGCAUUUGAUGCUAGAAACAUUUAGUAUGGACGUAAUUAUGACAGCAUUGGCAUUUCAUACUGAAAUAGCUUCUGUUUUAUGGAACUUUAUAAAGUGGUGCCAUGAAAGUGAAAGCUGGAAUAUUUUUUUGAACAGUCUGAUUUCAUGGCCUACAAAUGCUCCUGCUUGGUUUCUACCAGUUUCUUUGUUCUGUCCCAUAUACAUGCACAUGUUGGGAGUGCUUGAUAACACCGAGUUCAUAGAACAGGGUGAACCAUUUUUACUUGAUGAUUUGAAGUAUUUGGUUUCUGUAUUAAAAGAGGAACUGUUCGAAAUUCUUUGGAAUAUUCCUUCGCAUACCUCUAAUAUUCAGGCAGCAUUGCCCAACCCACUUGGACUUCAGAAGAUCUCAAUUGAGGGUCUCAAAAGCAAGGCUAUGUUUGGCUUAAUUGAAUUACUUUCAGAGCUGCAGGAUUGGAAUAACAGAUUAUUCACUGAUGAUGAGAGUGCUUUCUGUAUUGAUAAUUUUUCCGAAGUGGUGGGUGAAGAUUUUGUCGGCCAGGCAAUACUUGCCAAUAGCCAAGAAUCAAAACUAGUAAAGAUUGCCCCCUUCUUGGUUCCUUUCAGUCUUCGACUGCAAAUAUACCAUUUAUAUUUGGCUGCUGAUAAGGCAAAGUUCAAAGCUUCAAGACUACCCUUAGGGUCCCAUCCGAUAGAAAUAAGAAGAACUCACUCUCGGGAAGAUGCUUUUGAACAUCUAAACCAUCUCUCUUCCGAAGAACUUAAAGGAUAUAUUGAAGUGAGCUUUAUUAAUCAGCAUGGUAUUAGAGAAGAAGGUGUUGGUGAAGGGAUAUCACGUGAUUUUAUUGAUGGUGUUGCCAAGUUAGCAUUUGGUUCGGACGCUGGCUUCUUCAAGUCAACCUCUCGCAAUUUGCUCUAUCCGAGAUUGGGGUCAGUUUCUGCACAAGAUCUGGAACAUUUCCAUUUCCUUGGACUUCUUCUUGGAAAGGCAAUGUAUGAGAAUGUCAGUAUCGAAGCAGUGUUUGAAUUAUCAUUCUUAAAAACAAUAAAACAGAGACCAAUCUGUUUAAAUGAUUUCUCAUUAUUGGAUAAAGCAAUCUAUAAUCAACUGCGAAACAUGAAGAAAGAGGAGGAUUCAAUCUCAGGAUGGGGCUUGUACUUUUCAAUCUCAAGUGGUAACAAUAAUGAUGAAGAAGAUUUGCUUCCUGGUGGGAGCAAUAUGCUUGUUACUAAGCAUAAUUUUGCUCUCUAUAUGCAUCUUGUCGCAGACUAUAAAUUAAAACAUCAGAUCCGUGCACAAAGUAAGCACUUUUUGAGAGGUUUCCAACAGCUUAUUUCACUGGAAUGGCUUGACAUGUUCAGUGAGCCGGAAGUUCAGUGGAUUAUAUCUGGACCUUCUAAAGGGCUGGAUAUAGAUGACUUGCGGUCAAACACGAAUUAUGCUGGUGCAUUUCAUCAGGAUCACGAGGUCAUAAUUUUCUUUUGGGAGGUUUUAGAGACUUUUGGUCAAGAUGAUCGGAAAGCAUUUCUCAAGUAG
RNAcentral lists this ribosomal RNA (2088 nucleotides) under Triticum aestivum (bread wheat). RNAcentral describes it as "partial small subunit ribosomal RNA". The record is from RNAcentral. Lineage: Eukaryota; Viridiplantae; Streptophyta; Magnoliopsida; Poales; Poaceae.